GGAGUAGGAGAUGAGACUUGGUCUGGGGCAAUUGCACCGUUCUCUCCCUCCGCACAUAACUAAUCGAGAACGAACUUCGCAAUUAGAGUUCCGUGACUUCCGGGCUUAGCUCUGCAGAUGUUUUCAGGACGAAGAGAAGACGGUGCUAGUCUUUGAGGGAUGUCCGCUCUUGCCGCUGCACAAGUAACUGCUGUUGUCGCCUUGUCCGCCG
This 211-nucleotide long non-coding RNA is filed under the name Gossypium raimondii (Peruvian cotton). RNAcentral describes it as "long non-coding RNA (GRAI_LNC000388)". The record is from RNAcentral. Lineage: Eukaryota; Viridiplantae; Streptophyta; Magnoliopsida; Malvales; Malvaceae.